RNAcentral lists this ribosomal RNA (505 nucleotides) under uncultured bacterium. RNAcentral describes it as "partial 16S ribosomal RNA". It matches the Rfam family "Bacterial small subunit ribosomal RNA", at positions 28 to 507 of the family's 1533-position model. The record is from RNAcentral.
GACGAACGCUGGCGGCGUGCCUAAUACAUGCAAGUAGAACGCACAGUUUAUACCGUAGCUUGCUACACCAUAGACUGUGAGUUGCGAACGGGUGAGUAACGCGUAGGUAACCUGCCUGGUAGCGGGGGAUAACUAUUGGAAACGAUAGCUAAUACCGCAUAAUAUUGAUUAUUGCAUGAUAAUUAAUUGAAAGGUGCAAUUGCACCACUACCAGAUGGCCCUGCGUUGUAUUAGCUAGUAGGUGAGGUAACGGCUCACCUAGGCGACGAUACAUAGCCGACCUGAGAGGGUGAUCGGCCACACUGGGACUGAGACACGGCCCAGACUCCUACGGGAGGCAGCAGUAGGGAAUCUUCGGCAAUGGACGAAAGUCUGACCGAGCAACGCCGCGUGAGUGAAGAAGGUUUUCGGAUCGUAAAGCUCUGUUGUAAGAGAAGAACGGGUGUGAGAGUGGAAAGUUCACACUGUGACGGUAUCUGACCAGAAAGGGACGGCUAACUACGUG